Cavia porcellus (domestic guinea pig) is the source of this 713-nucleotide non-coding RNA. NCBI's taxonomy places the organism in Eukaryota, Metazoa, Chordata, Mammalia, Rodentia, Caviidae. The record is from the annotation of a RefSeq genome assembly.
GAACCCAGCCAGUAGUUAAAUUUGAGGCACUCACAGACCAUAAACUCUAAGCCUGAGGCACAGCAAAGCAGCCUGUGCAGAGGGAUACCAGCCCCAUGCUGCUCUCCAGCCUGCUGUGGGUGACUGUAGCCUUCAUCUACUCGGGACCCAGUGUCGCCCAGAAAGUGACUCAAGUCCAGCCAGUCACAUCUGGGAGACAAGGAGAAACAGCCACUCUGGACUGUGAAUAUGAGACACAGUGGAGCUCAGACACUCUUUGGUGGUACAAGCAACUUCCCAGUGGAGAGAUGGUGCUGCUCAUUUGGAGUACUUCUGGUCAGACCAGAAAAGCUGGUCGCUAUUCUUUCGAAUUCCCAAAAGCUAACUCAAUGAGCUUCAUCAUUUCUGGUUUACAGAUGGAAGAUUCAGCCAAGUAUUUCUGUGCUAUUAGGAGAGGCACAGUGCUUGAAGUGACAGUAGAAGCUGAACAAAAACUCAGGUGCUUCACAUGAGAAGGGCCCUGCUGCAGGAUCCCAAAUGAGCCUCACACCUGCAGAUCUCAAACCGGAAAAGGGCACUGUGGUUGCUCCGUCUUGAUCUGGAUUGGAAGAUAAAGUUCUAAAUAAAACUUUUUUAUGUCUCAUUUGGAAACUGUUAUCAGGCACAUGUUUUGGUGCAUCCUGUUAAGAAUUUUUGAAUAGGUAAUAGUGGAUAGAGAACAUGUAUAAAGUCGU